GCCAACAGAGCAUGCAGAUAAUUAUCUGUGACACCCAUGGUGUACUGUGAGCAGGUAUACAGGCCAACAGAGCAUGCAGAUAAUUAUCUGUGACACCCAUUGUACACUGUGAGCAGGUAUACAGGCCCACAGAGCAUGCAUAUAAUUAUCUGUGACACCCAUGGUGCACUGUGAGCAGGUAUACAGGCCCACAGAGCAUGCAGAUAAUUAUCUGUGACACCCAUUGUACACUGUGAGCAGGUAUACAGGCCAACAGAGCAUGCAGAUAAUUAUCUGCGACACCCAUUGUACACUGUGAGCAGGUAUACAGGCCCACAGAGCAUUCAGAUAAUUAUCUGUGACACCCAUGGUGCACUGUGAGCAGGUAUACAGGCCCACAGAGCAUGCAGAUAAUUAUCUGUGACACCCACUGUACACUGUGAGCAGGUAUACAGGCCCACAGAGCAUGCAGAUAAUUAUCUGUGACACCCAUGGUGCACUGUGAGCAGGUAUACAGGCCCACAGAGCAUGCAGAUAAUUAUCUGUGACACCCAUUGUACACUGUGAGCAGGUAUACAGGCCAACAGAGCAUGCAGAUAAUUAUCUGUGACACCCAUGGUGCACUGUGAGCAGGUAUACAGGCCAACCGAGCAUGCAGAUAAUUAUCUGUGACACCCAUGGUACACUGUGAGCAGGUAUACAGGCCAACAGAGCAUGCAGUUAAUUAUCUGUGACACCCAUGGUACACUGUGAGCAGGUAUACAGGCCAACAGAGCAUGCAGAUAAUUAUCUGUGACACCCAUGGUGCACUGUGAGCAGGUAUACAGGCCAACCGAGCAUGCAGUUAAUUAUCUGUGACACCCAUGGUGCACUGUGAGCAGGUAUACAGGCCAACAGAGCAUGCAGAUAAUUAUCUGCGACACCCAUUGUACACUGUGAGCAGGUAUACAGGCCCACAGAGCAUGCAGAUAAUUAUCUUUGACACCCAUGGUGCACUGUGAGCAGGUAUACAGGCCCACAGAGCAUGCAGAUAAUUACCUGUGACACCCAUUGUGCACUGUGAGCAGGUAUACAGGCCCACAGAGCAUGCAGAAAAUUAUCUGUGACACCCCUUGUACACUGUGAGCAGGUAUACAGGCCCACAGAGCAUGCAGAUAAUUAUCUGUGACACCCAUUGUACAUUGUGAGCAGGUAUACAGGCCCACAGAGCAUGCAGAUAAUUAUCUGUGACACCCACUGUACACUGUGAGCAGGUAUACAGGCCCACAGAGCAUGCAGAUAAUUAUCUGUGACACCCAUGGUGCACUGUGAGCAGGUAUACAGGCCCACAGAGCAUGCAGAUAAUUAUCUGUGACACCCAUUGUACACUGUGAGCAGGUAUACAGGCCAACAGAGCAUGCAGAUAAUUAUCUGUGACAUCCAUGGUGCACUGUGAGCAGGUAUACAGGCCAACAGAGCAUGCAGAUAAUUAUCUGCGACACCCAUUGUACACUGUGAGCAGGUAUACAGGCCCACAGAGCAUUCAGAUAAUUAUCUGUGACACCCAUGGUGCACUGUGAGCAGGUAUACAGGCCCACAGAGCAUGCAGAUAAUUAUCUGUGACACCCACUGUACACUGUGAGCAGGUAUACAGGCCCACAGAGCAUGCAGAUAAUUAUCUGUGACACCCAUGGUGCACUGUGAGCAGGUAUACAGGCCCACAGAGCAUGCAGAUAAUUAUCUGUGACACCCAUUGUACACUGUGAGCAGGUAUACAGGCCAACAGAGCAUGCAGAUAAUUAUCUGUGACACCCAUGGUGCACUGUGAGCAGGUUUACAGGCCAACAGAGCAUGCAGAUAAUUAUCUGUGACACCCAUGGUGCACUGUGAGCAGGUAUACAGGCCAACCGAGCAUGCAGUUAAUUAUCUGUGACACCCAUGGUGCACUGUGAGCAGGUAUACAGGCCAACAGAGCAUGCAGAUAAUUAUCUGCGACACCCAUGGUACACUGUGAGCAGGUAUACAGGCCAACCGAGCAUGCAGUUAAUUAUCUGUGACACCCAUGGUGCACUGUGAACAGGUAUACAGGCCCACAGAGCAUGCAGAUAAUUAUCUUUGACACCCAUGGUGCACUGUGAGCAGGUAUACAGGCCCACAGAGCAUGCAGAUAAUUACCUGUGACACCCAUUGUGCACUGUGAGCAGGUAUACAGGCCCACAGAGCAUGCAGAAAAUUAUCUGUGACACCCCUUGUACACUGUGAGCAGGUAUACAGGCCCACAGAGCAUGCAGAUAAUUAUCUGUGACACCCAUUGUACAUUGUGAGCAGGUAUACAGGCCCACAGAGCAUGCAGAUAAUUAUCUGUGACACCCACUGUACACUGUGAGCAGGUAUACAGGCCCACAGAGCAUGCAGAUAAUUAUCUGUGACACCCAUGGUGCACUGUGAGCAGGUAUACAGGCCCACAGAGCAUGCAGAUAAUUAUCUGUGACACCCAUUGUACACUGUGAGCAGGUAUACAGGCCAACAGAGCAUGCAGAUAAUUAUCUGUGACAUCCAUGGUGCACUGUGAGCAGGUAUACAGGCCCACAGAGCAUGCAGAUAAUUAUCUGUGACACCCACUGUACACUGUGAGCAGGUAUACAGGCCCACAGAGCAUGCAGAUAAUUAUCUGUGACACCCAUGGUGCACUGUGAGCAGGUAUACAGGCCCACAGAGCAUGCAGAUAAUUAUCUGUGACACCCAUUGUACACUGUGAGCAGGUAUACAGGCCAACAGAGCAUGCAGAUAAUUAUCUGUGACAUCCAUGGUGCACUGUGAGCAGGUAUACAGGCCCACAGAGCAUGCAGAUAAUUAUCUGUGACACCCCUUGUA
Molecule: long non-coding RNA, 2832 nt
Organism: Brienomyrus brachyistius
Lineage: Eukaryota; Metazoa; Chordata; Actinopteri; Osteoglossiformes; Mormyridae
Exons: 4
Source: RefSeq, a predicted model, not a curated record